Molecule: long non-coding RNA, 756 nt
Filed under: Equus asinus (donkey)
Lineage: Eukaryota; Metazoa; Chordata; Mammalia; Perissodactyla; Equidae
Description: lncRNA (ENSEASG00005030158.1)
Source: RNAcentral
GUGAAACUGGCUUUGGACAUCUCAACAACAUCAUUAAAAAGUGGAAGAAAAUGAAGACAUCCCUUUGACAUUCUGAAGGAAAUGAUUUCCAAUUUAGAAUUUUAUACCUGGCCAAGCUGUCAAUCAAGUGGAAUAGAGAUAUUUUCAGAAAUGGAAAGUCUCAAAAAGUUUACCUCCCAUGCCCUCUUUCCCAGGAAACAACUAGAGAAUGUGUUCCUCCAAAGGGAGAGAGCAAACCAAGAAAGAAGAAUGCAGGAGACACAGGAAGAGGGGAGAAAGCACUGGAGAGAGGCGAGGGGAGAAGAGAUGCCCCGAAGCCAGCCGUGCCCCCCGCAGACAGGGCAACCUAUCCAGACCAAAGCGGGUAGAAGCUUCCAGGGGAGAUUCCUCCAAGAGAUGAAGUUAAUAGGACACCUGACACAUCUGGACAUCUUGAGAUUGAAACAGCAGGUGGAAAUUUUUCAUUUGAGAUGGGCGAUGAGAGCAAAGAAAACUAAGCAAAUAAAAUAAAGACAAUUAGUGACUCCAGGGAAAACAAAAAGUUGUACAGUGGUGUCACUACACUGGACAGCUUUCCUCCUGCCAUUCUGAUCACAUGUCCUGUUCUGGAUCCUCCUCCUUCUCCCUCGCCCCAGAGGUCACCCUACAUUUUGCUUCAAAGUCAGCCAGGCUCCCCAAUCAAGGCAGAAGGAAUUCCAUGGUCUUUAUACUGGAUCCAAAGGUAACUGCUUCCCCAGGACAGAGCACCUCAUAGAC